Non-coding RNA from Odocoileus virginianus texanus, 1625 nucleotides. Lineage: Eukaryota; Metazoa; Chordata; Mammalia; Artiodactyla; Cervidae. The record is from RefSeq and is a predicted model, not a curated record.
GCAAGAUGGUGGGGGGGGGCGAGGCUGGUGUGACUUUAGGGCAGCCACACCUUUCUCGGCAAGAUCUCGCUACUUUGGAUGUUUCCAAGUUGACGCCACUUUCACAUGAAGUUAUCAGCAGACAAGCCACAAUUAAUAUAGGUACAAUGGGUCACGUAGCUCAUGGGAAAUCUACAGUUGUAAAAGCUAUUUCUGGAGUCCACACUGUCCAUUUCAAAAAUGAACUGGAAAGAAAUAUUACAAUCAAACUUGGCUAUGCUAAUUCUAAGAUUUAUAAACUUGACGACCCAAGUUGUCCUCGGCCAGAAUGUUAUAGAUCCUGUGGAAGCAGCACACCCGAUGAGUUUCCCACAGACAUUCCAGGGACCAAAGGGAACUUCAGAUUAGUCAGGCAUGUUUCCUUUGUUGACUGUCCUGGCCACGAUAUUCUGAUGGCUACUAUGCUGAACGGUGCCGCAGUGAUGGAUGCCGCUCUUCUGUUGAUAGCUGGUAACGAGUCUUGUCCUCAGCCUCAGACAUCUGAACACUUGGCUGCUAUAGAAAUCAUGAAACUGAAGCACAUUUUGAUUCUACAAAAUAAAAUUGAUUUGGUAAAAGAAAGCCAGGCUCAAGAACAGUAUGAACAGAUCCUUGCAUUUGUUCAAGGUACAGUAGCAGAAGGCGCUCCUAUUAUCCCAAUUUCUGCUCAGCUAAAAUACAAUAUUGAAGUUGUCUGUGAGUACAUAGUAAAGAAAAUUCCAGUACCCCCAAGAGACUUUACUUCAGAACACAGACUUAUUGUUAUUAGAUCCUUUGAUGUCAACAAACCUGGCUGUGAAGUUGAUGACCUUAAGGGGGGUGUAGCUGGUGGUAGUAUUCUAAAAGGAGUGUUAAAGGUGGGCCAGGAGAUAGAAGUCAGGCCUGGUAUUGUUUCCAAAGACAGUGAAGGAAAACUCAUGUGUAAACCUAUCUUUUCCAAAAUUGUAUCGCUUUUCGCAGAGCAUAAUGAUCUUCAAUAUGCUGCCCCAGGAGGUCUUAUUGGAGUUGGAACAAAAAUUGACCCCACUUUGUGCCGGGCUGACAGAAUGGUGGGGCAAGUACUUGGUGCAGUUGGAGCUUUACCUGAGAUCUUCACAGAAUUGGAAAUUUCCUAUUUCCUGCUUAGACGGCUUCUAGGUGUUCGCACUGAAGGAGACAAGAAAGCAGCGAAAGUACAAAAGCUGUCUAAGAAUGAAGUGCUUAUGGUGAAUAUAGGAUCCCUGUCAACAGGAGGAAGAGUUAGUGCAGUCAAGGCUGAUUUGGGCAAAACCGUCUUGACUAAUCCUGUGUGCACAGAAGUAGGAGAAAAAAUUGCACUUAGCCGAAGAGUUGAGAAACACUGGCGUUUAAUUGGUUGGAGUCAAAUAAGAAGAGGAGCGACAAUCAAGCCAACAGUAGAUGAUGACUGAAGAAUUAAAUAACAGAUCUGGAUGAAGUUGGAAUUUCUCUUAACAACCUAGGGGUAUAUUUUCAGAACAAUACUGGGAAAGUAAUUUCACAGCUCAUUACCUUAGUAGUAGCUGUAAGGUUAUUCUCAUUUUUUGGUGAUGAAAAUUUAACCUCUAGUACUGAAAUAGAGCCUACAAUAAAUGUAGAAAUUAGCAUCA